GGGCGCAGAGGUCAAUCGGGGGUGGGCCCGAUGUUGAAGUACCGGCUACUGCCUCGUCCGGUGAAGAGGAGGACGACAGACCCGGCAUGGUUGGCUCAUUUAAAGACAGAUUCUCUUUGUUUUAUUUAAAGCCAUCUACAGCUUCCCCUCUUGGUCAGAGGCUUUCUGUUUAGAAACUUCCCUUUAUCUCACUAGUUGUUCUUUGAACCAGACGUCCUCCCUACUUUAGUCCUUCUGGCCUUAUCAUUUAAGCUAACUUCAAUUCUUUAAUUUUGUACUUAUCCUACACCCACCUCCUGGCUGAGGUUAUGGCUACCAGGAACGCAACCUUCAUAAAUAAGCGAUACACGGAACAUGUAGACAGAGGUUCCAAGGGCGGCUUUGUGAGCACCGAAAGAACAAGGCUUAGGUCCCACUGAGGAGAAGAAAGGUUCUAACUCAGCCCUUCCAGAAUCAGGCAGUCAGCAGGUAAACAAAAAUUGAGUUCCCAUAUGAAGGUGAGUAGUAUGCACUGACAGGUGCCAGGUCAACUCAUAAAGAGCUGAUGGAAAGACCAACUGCUUUGACGGAAAGAAGAUAGUCAAGAAUAAGGGGAAUACCUGCAGCUUCUGGGGAUAUAAGUUGCUGUGUCCAGACAGAGAAACACUUCCACUUGGCUAAGUAGCCUUUCCUAAUGGAAUCUUUUCAACUAUUAGUAAGGAUCCUUUGCAUGGCUUCAGAGCAGAAAUGUUCUAGAGUUGAUGCCCAUCCAAAAACCCAUGCCUGAGAUGGAGUGCUUGGGGGUUGGAAUGCUUGAUUCUGCCCUUCCUCUGCGUCAGGGUACUGGAAAAGGGCUGAAUAUUGAUCUAUGACAAAGAUGACUGGAGUAUGAGACUCGGGAAUCAAAACUGUCUGGUCCAGUUGGGGGCAAUGAUGACGACUCGUGUCUUGUCCUGAUGAAUCUUCCACAAGACUCAAAAUGGGAGUGGUAAGGGAGGGAAGGCCUAGUUCACAUGAUGUGACCGCAGAAGGAGAGUGUCACCCUACGAAUGAAGUCCUAGGGAGCCUCUGGAGUACUAUAUGUUACACUUCCUGGUUGUUUGAGAGGUGAACAGGUCUGUGGUGGGGGUUCUCCAUACAGCAAAAAUAUUAUUUAUCAUGGAGUCAUGUAGCUCCCACUCAUGGUUGAUAGCAAAGCGUCUGCUGAGCGUGACCAUCAGCUCAUUUUGAUUCCCUGCAAGGUAAGCUGCCAAAAGCUUGAUCUGAUUGCUGAUGCACCAAUUCCAUGGAUUGACUGCUUCUGCACAUGGGGAUGGAUCUCACUGCUCCCUGCUUGUUGAUGUAAAAGAUGGUUGUCAUAUUGUUCGAUAUUACCAAGACAUGGGGACAUUGUAUGAAUAGGAGAAAGGCUUUGCAAGCCUCUGAUUGUCCACAAUUCCAUAAUGUGCAUAUACUUCCUGGUCUCUCAGGAUGUUCAAGUGCCCUGUGCUGUAUGACUGUCCAUCUGGGCUCCCCAGCCUAAGAGAGAGACAUCUGUAAUGAUCACUGUGCCUGGUGAGAGGGAAGGAAGGGAACACCUACGCAUAUUUGGUGGGAUCCUUCCACCACAGUAGAGAUGAUUACUGUGGUGGGAACUAUUGCUCUUGUGUUCAUGGACAGUUUGUUUGAUGAGUACACUGUCUGAAGCCAUGCCUGUAGGCAGCAAAGAUGGAGUCUGUCAAGCGAUGUGAUGUAAGUGCAUGAAGCCGUAUGUGCCGAGAGAGAGAGAGAAAUUUUGGUUGAUGUUCAAGGGCUGUUUGUGACCUGAUCCAUAAGGUAAUUCAUUGCUUGGAACCUGUCCAUUGGCAGGUAAGCCCUGGCCGUGACUGAAUUUAGGGACACCUUGACAAAGUCUAAAGUCUGUGUUGAUAUUAGGCCGGCAGACACUGCCUUCAAAAUUCUCCAACUCUGGGUGCAUGGAGCACAUGUGUACCCACAGUGGAAUACACAGAAGGGCUAGCAAUUGCAGAAAAAUCUGUUAUUGGAUGGAAGAGUACAAGGAAACAAUGGGACAACACGACUCAGUACGCCGGACAGUGGUCUCAGCACACCAACAGCCUAACCUUAGUCAAUUUUUUUGUAGGCUUCACGGCAAAGGAGUUUUAAGGAGGCAUUUGUAGGACAAUAAUGAGGUAGCUUUGUAGAUGUUUACGGGGAGCUCCUCCUAAGCCUGAGGGGCAGCACAGGAGAAAGCAUGAAUAUGUUUGUUUGAAAAUCAGAAUGGAUAUAAGCAGGGCAAGACAGCAUUUGUCAAGGCCACGCAGAAGGAUGUGGCAAUAAUCAAGAGAACGUGGAUGACAGUUUUAGCUCUUUGGGUGGAGAGAAAAAGGCCUUAUCUUAGAGAUGUUAUGUAGAAAGAUUUGGCAAGAUUAAAACAUAGUCUGGAUGCAAGGACUUAGACAGGGGUUUGAGUCGAAGAUGAUGCCCAAGUAAUGGGCCCAAUGACAGGUGGGCAAUGGUGUUGUCAUAGAAUGUCAGGGUUGGAAGGCACCUCAGGAGGUAUCUAGUCCAACCCCCUGCUCAAAGCAGGACCAAUCCCCAACUAAAUCCACAGUGAUCAAGUAAGCAGGCAGUAAGGAGGACAUGGGGGGAAGGUCAGAAGCUGUUUUAGCCAUGUUGAGCAUGAGCUGAUGGCUAGACAUCCACGAGGAGCUGUCAGAGACAGGCCAAGAUUUCAGUCUGGACAGAAGGAGACAUGCCUGGACCAAAGGUAGAACUGAGAGUCAUCAGCAUCCAGAUGGUAGUUGAACUUGUAUUUGUGGAUGAGAUUACCCUGUAUAGACGUGUAGAGGGAGAAGUGGACCAAGGGCAGAGCCAUAUGGAGCCACCAUAUAAUGUUGGAGUGCAGAUGAGGAUCCCCCUCCAAAGGGCAUGUUGAAUGUGUGACUAAAGACGUAGGAGGAGAACGAGGAAGAGGCAAAAUCACCAAAGCCAAGGGAGGACAGGAUUUCCAAAAGAAGAGCAUGGUUGAUAGUGCCAAAGGUGGCUGACAGACUGAGGAGCUUUGUCUAGGAAGAGGUUAUUAGAGACUAUAGCAAGAGUGCUUUCAGUGGAGUGUAUGGGCGGAAGCCAGAUUGGAGAGGGCCUAGGAUGGAACUCCAGACAGCAAGUUCUACACUUUGUUUUAGGACGACAGACAAGAUGAUGAACAGUGGUCCCUGCUGGCCCUGAUAAUCUAUUAUUUUAGACAGUGUGUUCAAUGAGCUUUCUAGAUGGAAGGGAAAUGGGGCAGUAGUUGGAGACACAAGUGGGGCCAAGCGAGGGUUUUUUAAAAUAGGAAAGGCUAAAGCAUGUUUGUAUUGUGAGAGGAAAGAGCACGAGGAGAGUGAGAAAUUACGGAGAAGAGUGAAAGUUGGUGCGAGGAAGAUCAGGACAUGGGAUGGGAUCAGGGCAAAUAGAGACCUUAGAGGUGCGUAGAUAACAGAACAUUUGUGCUUCUGUUCCUGCAGCUCCCUCUGCUGUGACCCUCACAACACGGCAUCUUGAAGGGUGGUACAGGGUUACUCAUUUUCCCCUUAGAUGGAUUUUUUUUCAUUCUAGGACUGGUGCCUGGGGAAUAGCUAUUUGUGAGUUUCACAGUAAAUAAAAAUUAUGCUGCUCAUGGUAGGGAGUGUUCUGUCCAGGUCAAACCCAACAGCAACUCCUGGAUUCAACCUCAGUAUCAGUACUCAAUAGAGAACAAGAUGUCAUAUAAAUGGCCAGCUCCAU
Non-coding RNA from Chelonoidis abingdonii (Abingdon island giant tortoise), 3726 nucleotides. Lineage: Eukaryota; Metazoa; Chordata; Testudines; Testudinidae. The record is from RefSeq and is a predicted model, not a curated record.